CAUGCUUCCAAGAAAAGCCUCUAAGCUUCAGUUACAAGGAGACCGUACCGCAAACCGACACAGGUGGGCAGGAUGAAAAUUCUAAGGCGCUUGAGAGAACUCAGGAGAAGGAACUCGGCAAAUUAGCACCGUAACUUCGGGAAAAGGUGCGCCCUGAUAGGUUGUAGCCCCUCGCGGGUGAAGGCUGAAAGGGUUGCAGUGAAAUGGUGGCUGCGACUGUUUAAUAAAAACACAGCACUCUGCAAACACGAAAGUGGACGUAUAGGGUGUGACGCCUGCCCGGUGCCGGAAGGUUAAUUGAUGGAGUGAGAGCUCUUGAUCGAAGCCCCGGUAAACGGCGGCCGUAACGAUAACGGUCCUAAGGUAGCGAAAUUCCUUGUCGGGUAAGUUCCGACCUGCACGAAUGGCGUAACGAUGGCCACACUGUCUCCUCCUGAGACUCAGCGAAGUUGAAGUGGUUGUGAAGAUGCAAUCUCCCCGCGGUUAGACGGAAAGACCCCAUGAACCUUUACUGUAGCUUUGCAUUGGACUUUGAACCGACUUGUGUAGGAUAGGUGGGAGGCUGUGAAUCCGGGACGCUAGUUCUGGUGGAGCCAACCUUGAAAUACCACCCUGGUUUGUUUGAGGUUCUAACCACGGCCCGUGAAUCCGGGUCUGGGACCGUGCAUGGUAGGCAGUUUGACUGGGGCGGUCUCCUCCUAAAGUGUAACGGAGGAGUACGAAGGUACGCUAGGUACGGUCGGAAAUCGUGCUGAUAGUGCAAUGGCAAAAGCGUGCUUGACUGCGAGACCCACACGUCGAGCAGGUACGAAAGUAGGUCAUAGUGAUCCGGUGGUUCUGUAUGGAAGGGCCAUCGCUCAACGGAUAAAAGGUACUCUGGGGAUAACAGGCUUAUACCGCCCAAGAGUUCAUAUCGACGGCGGUGUUUGGCACCUCGAUGUCGGCUCAUCACAUCCUGGGGCUGUAGUCGGUCCCAAGGGUAUGGCUGUUCGCCAUUUAAAGUGGUACGUGAGCUGGGUUUAAAACGUCGUGAGACAGUUUGGUCCCUAUCUGCCGUGGGCGUUGGAAAUUUGAAGGGGGCUGCUCCUAGUACGAGAGGACCGGAGUGGACGAACCUCUGGUGUACCGGUUAUGACGCCAGUCGUAUCGCCGGGUAGCUAAGUUCGGAAGAGAUAAACGCUGAAAGCAUCUAAGCGUGAAACUCGCCUUAAGAUGAGAUUUCCCCGGGGACUCGAUCCCCCUCAAGGGCCGUGGUAGACCACCACGUUGAUAGGCUGGAUGUGGAAGCGCAGCAAUGCGUUGAGCUAACCAGUACUAAUCGCCCGUGCGGCUUGAUCG
Molecule: ribosomal RNA, 1338 nt
Filed under: metagenome
Description: bacterial LSU rRNA
Rfam family: Bacterial large subunit ribosomal RNA
Source: RNAcentral